GUCGGCGAUGGAUCAUUCAAGUUUCUGACCUAUCAGCUUUCGACGGUACUGUAUUGGACUACCGUGGCAGUGACGGGUAACGGGGAAUUAGGGUUCGAUUCCGGAGAGGGAGCCUGAGAAACGGCUACCACAUCUAAGGAAGGCAGCAGGCGCGCAAAUUACCCAAUCCUGACUCAGGGAGGUAGUGACAAGAAAUAACAACACUGGAAAUUCUUUUUCUAGUGAUUGGAAUGAUGGGAAUCCAAACCCCUUUCAGAGUAACAAUUGGAGGGCAAGUCUGGUGCCAGCAGCCGCGGUAAUUCCAGCUCCAAUAGCGUAUAUUAAAGUUGUUGCAGUUAAAAAGCUCGUAGUUGGAUAUCUGCUGGAAGCAGCCAGUCCGCCCUUUGUGGGUGUGCACUUGGUGAAUUCUGGCAUCCUCCUGAUUGGUGUCAUCAUCACUUCAUUGUGUUGGUGGCAGCUGUCAGGACCGUUACUUUGAGAAAAUUAGAGUGUUUCAAGCAGGCUUGUUGCCUUGAAUACUGCAGCAUGGAAUAACAAGAUAGGAUUUCGGUUCUAUUUUGUUGGUUUCUAGAACUGAAGUAAUGAUUAAUAGGGACAGUUGGGGGCAUUCGUAUUUAACUGUCAGAGGUGAAAUUCUUAGAUUUGUUAAAGACGAACUACUGCGAAAGCAUUUGCCAAAGAUGUUUUCAUUAAUCAAGAACGAAAGUUAGGGGCUCGAAGACGAUCAGAUACCGUCGUAGUCUUAACCAUAAACUAUGCCGACUAGAGAUAG
RNAcentral lists this ribosomal RNA (772 nucleotides) under Sarcocystis sp. 1 GM-2017. RNAcentral's name for it is "SSU rRNA". It matches the Rfam family "Eukaryotic small subunit ribosomal RNA", at positions 283 to 1055 of the family's 1831-position model. The record is from RNAcentral. Lineage: Eukaryota; Apicomplexa; Conoidasida; Eucoccidiorida; Sarcocystidae.